CUUUUACACACUGCACACAGUUCAUGGAAGAAAAGAGCACAGAGCUUAUCGGGAGAAAAAUAACUAUUUACUUAAUGACACGGGAGGAAGUGCAGAGGACGUCAGCCAUGGAGAAUGAAUCUUCCACAGUGGAAUGAAGGGCACGGGGUGUGUGGUCUCUAGAGGAUAGGCUGGGGAUACAGAAUCCCACUGGAAAUGGGGUACGGCACACAACAUGGGUCAACUGAUAUGAGUCCUUCUAGCACAGAUCUGGCAUUGCAGGCAAAAGGGACAGUAAUCACCUUAUCCUGGUCAGAGUUGUGGUGCACCUGGAGCCUAUCCCAGGAACACUGGGCAUGAGGAGACACCCUGAAUGCCAGUUAAUUAAGAGGCUUCCUUCUGGGACGACAGCCAUGCAGACCAAUUUGAUGCAGUGUGCGGCAUAUGGUCUGAGCACUGACAGGCUGACCCCCC
This is a long non-coding RNA of Ictalurus punctatus (channel catfish), 453 nucleotides long. The record is from Ensembl. Lineage: Eukaryota; Metazoa; Chordata; Actinopteri; Siluriformes; Ictaluridae.